This 1047-nucleotide long non-coding RNA is filed under the name Phasianus colchicus (ring-necked pheasant). RNAcentral's name for it is "lncRNA (ENSPCLG00000003349.1)". The record is from RNAcentral. Lineage: Eukaryota; Metazoa; Chordata; Aves; Galliformes; Phasianidae.
AUGGCAGUAGCUGGAACCUCGGAGGUGGAGCUCCUCCAGAAAGCCCUCUUCUUCAAAAUGUUCCCUGUAGCACUGGCGUACGGCACCCUGAAGUCAUGCAAACAACUCACAUCAUCCUUAUCAAGAGAGAAGGUGCUAUCUGCUGAGCUAAUAGAAACCAGCUGGUUGCUGAGUUCUACAAAGGGAAGCUUACAGCAAGCUGAAAGCAUGCUUAUUCUGGCUGUGCCCAAAGCAUGGGCUCUAUCACCAUUGCAAACAACAAGGCCUGAGGAUGUUACAGCCAAUACACUGAGGUUUGUAGCAGCAGAAUUAUUUCUUCUCUCAAGAUUUCUGCAAAGGAGUAUGAGGGCAAAGUGAACAUUUUAACAAGGAGAUAUUCAACAGGUAGCUGGCUGUGAAACAUGGUGUUUGGCAGUACAGGAAGUCUCUUGAAUUCUUUUGAAUUGCUAUUGCUUAAUCUUCUUGCGAAUGCUUAAUUGAGAAGAUAUUUUCCAUAUGAAAAUAUUUUCCCCUCCAGCUUUAUUAUUAUGCACUUUGUACAAAUCAGGCAAACGUGGAUCUUGAAAGACAAUCUCUAUGAAAAUGCCAGACAUGAAAUCCUAGCUGUAUAUGUUAGAGACUCCAUUCAAGUAAAAUUAAAUCAAUAUCUACUCUGAUCUUCUUCAGGUGUCUCAAACUUCACUUUCAGUUGUUUCAACUCUUAUAUAUCUUGGAAAAAUACAGGAAUUAUAUUUUCUACAGUACACUUUUCAUGGCAUCAGAUCAAAGGAGCUGAUCCUGCCCCUCUGCUCUGCGCUGGUGAGACCUCACCUGGAGAACUGUGUCCAGAUGUGGAGUCCUCAGUACAGGACAGACACAGACCUGUUGGAGUGCAUCCAGAGGAGGGCCUCGAAAAUGAUACAAGUGAGGUGACAUCUCUCCUACAAGGGCAGGCUGAAAGAGCUGGGGCUGCUCCAGGUAGAUUUGAAAGGCCACUACCUUUCAAUAUCUAAAGGGGGGCUGUAAGGAGGAAGGGGACAGACUCUUUAGCAGGGUUUUUAGCUUUUG